AUCAUUCUGACGAGUCUCAAAUUGGACGAAACUCGCGUCCCUGAU
Molecule: non-coding RNA, 45 nt
Organism: Schistosoma haematobium
Lineage: Eukaryota; Metazoa; Platyhelminthes; Trematoda; Strigeidida; Schistosomatidae
Source: Rfam